GUUGACCUCGGAUCAGGUAGGAAUACCCGCUGAACUUAAGCAUAUCAAAAGCCGGAGGAA
This 60-nucleotide ribosomal RNA is filed under the name Trichoderma sp. NFML_CH12_BB.15. Its description in RNAcentral is "partial 28S ribosomal RNA". Lineage: Eukaryota; Fungi; Ascomycota; Sordariomycetes; Hypocreales; Hypocreaceae. RNAcentral also lists the same sequence under 1 other name. The record is from RNAcentral.